This 468-nucleotide ribosomal RNA is filed under the name uncultured bacterium. Its description in RNAcentral is "partial 16S ribosomal RNA". It matches the Rfam family "Bacterial small subunit ribosomal RNA", at positions 28 to 507 of the family's 1533-position model. The record is from RNAcentral.
GACGAACGCUGGCGGCGUGCUUAACACAUGCAAGUCGAACGGAAAGGCCCUGCUUUUGUGGGGUGCUCGAGUGGCGAACGGGUGAGUAACACGUGAGUAACCUGCCCUUGACUUUGGGAUAACUUCAGGAAACUGGGGCUAAUACCGGAUAGGAGCUCCUGCUGCAUGGUGGGGGUUGGAAAGUUUCGGCGGUGGUGGAUGGACUCGCGGCUUAUCAGCUUGUUGGUGGGGUAGUGGCUUACCAAGGCUUUGACGGGUAGCCGGCCUGAGAGGGUGACCGGCCACAUUGGGACUGCGAUACGCCCCAGACUCCUACGGUCGGCAGAAGUCGGGAAUCUUGCACAAUGGGCCGAAGCCUGAUGCAGCAACGCCGCGUGCGGGAUGCCGGCCUUCGGGUUGUAAACCGCUUUCGCCUGUGACGAAGCGUGAGUGACGGUAAUGGGUAAAGAAGCCCCGGCUAACUACGUG